UAGGGAAUCUUCGGCAAUGGACGAAAGUCUGACCGAGCAACGCCGCGUGAGUGAAGAAGGUUUUCGGAUCGUAAAACUCUGUUGUUAGAGAAGAACAAGGACGUUAGUAACUGAACGUCCCCUGACGGUAUCUAACCAGAAAGCCACGGCUAACUACGUGCCAGCAGCCGCGGUAAUACGUAGGUGGCAAGCGUUGUCCGGAUUUAUUGGGCGUAAAGCGAGCGCAGGCGGUUUCUUAAGUCUGAUGUGAAAGCCCCCGGCUCAACCGGGGAGGGUCAUUGGAAACUGGGAGACUUGAGUGCAGAAGAGGAGAGUGAAAUUCCAUGUGUAGCGGUGAAAUGCGUAGAUAUAUGGAGGAACACCAGUGGCGAAGGCGGCUCUCUGGUCUGUAUCGGACGCUGAGGCUCGAAAGCGUGGGGAGCAAACAGG
Molecule: ribosomal RNA, 429 nt
Filed under: Gemmatimonadota bacterium
Lineage: Bacteria; Pseudomonadati; Gemmatimonadota
Description: Gemmatimonadetes bacterium partial 16S ribosomal RNA
Rfam family: Bacterial small subunit ribosomal RNA
Source: RNAcentral